UUGAUCUGUACAACCCUCAAAGUACUCUGCAAAGUGAUUCUGAACAGGAUCCAGGAGAAAAUAGACGCUACACUCCGACGGCAACAAGCUGGAUUCCGAUCCGGACGAUCAUGUGUGGACCACAUCACAACGCUACGAAUCAUACUGGAACAAAUCAACGAAUUCCAGGACUCUCUUCUGCUGGUGUUCGUUGAUUUCGAAAAAGCAUUCGACCGACUUAACCAUGAAAACAUCUGGGCGGCUCUAAGGCGACGAGGGGUCCCAGAGAAACUAGUCCAUCUCAUCGAAGCACAGUAUGAGGCAUUUUCGUGCAAGGUCUUGCACGACGGUGUCUUGUCCGAACCAAUCCCGGUAACUGCUGGAGUGAGACAAGGAUGUAUUCUAUCACCGCUACUUUUUCUUAUCGUAAUGGAUGAGAUUCUGAUUGGAUCGAUUGACUGUGCACCGAACCGAGGAUUGCCGUGGAAUCCUUCAACAAUGGAGCAACUGAACGACCUUGACCUGGCUGACGAUAUUGUUUUGCUCGCUCAAACACAACCAGAUAUGCAGAGCAAACUCGACGACCUCACCGAAAGUUCCAAGGCAGCAGGUCUCAAAGUCAAUGUCGGAAAGACCAAGUCGAUGGAGAUCAACACAGGAAAUCCCUCCAGUUUCAUGGUAGCUGGGCAACAAGUUGAGAAAGUGGAGUGCUUCCAGUAUCUUGGUAGCCAGAUUACGCCUGAUGGUGGUACCAGAAAAGACAUCGAAACACGGAUCAGAAAGGCCCGAUUUGCGUUUGCGACUCUCCGAAACAUCUGGCGGUCACGCCAGAUCUCUCUACGAACAAAAAUCCGAAUCUUCAACUCAAACGUCAAAUCCGUAUUGCUGUACGGGUGCGAAACUUGGUGCACAUAUGCGGUAACGACGCGAAAACUGCAAGUAUUUGUAAACCGCUGCCUGCGGAAUAUCAUCCGCGCUUGGUGGCCUGGCAACUGGAUCUCGAAUGAGGAACUACAUCGCCGGUGUCAUCAAAAGGCGCUGGAAAUCGAGAUUCGGGAACGUAAGUGGAGAUGGAUUGGGCACACGCUGCGAAGAGAUGAAAACGAGAUUUGCAGAGAGGCGCUAGAUUGGAAUCCAGAAGGUCAUCGAAGAAGAGGCAGACCCAGAAAUUCGUGGCGGCGAAGCCUAGCCGCUGAAAUCCGAACUGUCGACGAGAAUCUUGACUGGGACCAGGUGAAGACGCUGGCUCCGGAUCGUCAACAGUGGAGGUCUUUUACCACGGCCCUAUGCACCGGAGGAUCGGCGCGGGAUCAUUAAGUAAGUAAGUCUGUACAUGAAAAUUACCUUUCGAAUUGUUUUUGGUCAACUUGGAUCUGAACGGAAUGUUCGAUUUAGACUUUAGCGUUGCAAAAAGAAUUGACACAUAUCAAUUCUGUAGCUAUCCCAUCAAUUGUAUAGAAAAUGGCUGCUUCCUGAGAAUGUCCGAUUGUGACUGCGUCCUGUAGAUAAAAAUUACCAUCCGAAAUGUUUUUGGCCAAAUUGGAUCUGAACAGAAUGUUCGAUUAAGACUUAACUUUGCAAAAAGGAUUGAUACAAAUCAGUUCUGUAGCUCUUCUGCAAUUGUAUAGAAAAUGGAUGAGUCCUAACACUGUCUGAUUCUUCCUAAACCUUCAAAUUUGACAAUUAUUUCAAAAUUCCGAUUGCGGCGGCGUCUGGUACAUGAAAAUUACCAUCCGAUAUGCUUUUGGUCAGCUUGGAUUCAAACGGAAUGUUGGAUUUAAAGCUCAACGUUGUUGAAAGAAUUGAUAUAAAUCAAUACUGUAGCUCCCCUUUAAUUGUAUAGAAAAUGGCUGGGUCCUGUACAUGUCUGCUCCUUCCAAAAGCGUCAUACUUAUCAGUUUUUUCCAAAUCUCUGUUGUGGCUGCGUCCUGUACAUGAAAAUUGCCAUCCGAAAUGUUUUUGGUCAACUUGGAUCUGAACGGAAUGUUCGAUUUAGACCUUAACGUUGCCAAAAGAAUGGAUAUAAAUCAAAACUGUAGCUCUCCCUCAAUUGUAUGGAAAAUGGCUGCGUCCUGAUAAUGAGUGGAAUGAAAAAAACUUAGUAAUUGCUUUUGCUAAACUAAAUCGAGCAGUCGCUUAAAGCAAUUGCUUCGGUUGUUAUGAAUAAAGUUUUUCUUGACAACUGUUUUCUCUGUCAGGAGCUUUUACUUUUAGAACAAGCUAGCUUGGUAUGAAAAAAGCUCAAAUCUUAAGCAAUUGCUCGACAAACCUCAUAGCAAUUGCUUUAUUUUCUAAGCAUGCUCGGUAGCAGACUUUAAUAAAAAAUCUUGAAUAACGUCAUGAAAUUAUCAAAUUAGCAAUAUUUCACUUCGAAACAAUUCAAAAAGGUAUUUUCAACAUGGAUAAAGAAAAGUCGAAGUGAUAACCCAACUUUUUUCAUACUCCUGUCGUUGUAUAAAAUCAUUCGUCUAAGAUGAAAAUAAACAAAUGAAUUAGUAAAUAUUUCAAAUUAAAAAAAAUCCGGCUAUAGUGGAAGAAGUCUCAAUUGGCUCAAAGUAAGAUAUAAAUUGUAAUAAUGAUUUUAGUUUAAUGAUUAAUGGCAUUUCGGUGAAUUAUACAUUCUAAUAGGAAGAAUUUCAAAUGAAAGUAAUGAAAAUUAUAGACGGAUAGAUUAGAUUAGGAAGCAUGAAAGGUGUUGAAAAUGAGCCAAGAGCGUGAUUUGAGAAAACUUCUUGCCGCACAAGACCAUUUGUCCCACAUCGUAUUAUUGUCUAGAAGAAGCAAAGUCGAUAGGCUGACUUUGCAUUGAUCUAUACAAUGAUACAUGGAUGGAUCGAAGCACGUGUUUUUCGUACUCCGAUCGGAACUAAUCCGUUAAGCAAAUGUUUAUUCAUACCAAACUAAGCAAAUGCUUUGGACUUUUGUUUUGAUUGAUUUCGAGCAAAGUAAAAGCUACCGAAGCAAUUGCUAAACCUUAUUCAUACCACUAAAUGUUUGCUUUUUCCAAAAGCGUCGGAUUUGUCAAUUAUUUUAAAAUUCCGAUUGUGGCUGCGUCCUGUAGAUGAAAAUUACCCUCCGAAAUGUUUUUGAUCAACUUGGAUCUAAACAGAAUAAUCGAAUAAGAGCUCAUUGUUGCCAAAAGAAUUAAUACAAAUCAAUUCUGUAGCUCUCCCUAAAUUCUUUAGAAAAUGGCUGCGUACUGACAAUGUCUGCUUCUUCCAAAAGCGUCAAAUUAGUCAACUAUUUCAAAAAGUUCGAUUUUGGCUGCGUCCUUUAGAAGAAAAUUGCCAUCCGAUAUGUUUUUGGUCAAAUUGGAUCUUAACAGAAUGUUUGAUUUAAAUCUCAUUGUUGCCAAAACAAUUGAUACACAUUAUUUCUGUAGCUCGCCUCCAAUUGCAUUGAAAAUGGCUGCACCCUGACAAUGUCUGCUCCUUCCAAAAGCGUCAAAUUUGUCAACUAUUUCAAAAAUCCGAAUGUGGCUGGGUCCUAUAGAUGAAAAUUGGCGUCCGAAAUGUAAUAAAUUAUCAUGGAUCGGAUCAGAAAAAUUCGAUUUAUAGUUCAUUGUUGCCAAAAGAAUUGAUAUAAAUUAAUUCUGCAGCUCUUAUUUAAUUGUAUAGCAAAUUGCUUCCUCCUAACAAUGUCUGCUCCUUCCAAAACCGUAAAAUUUGUCAAUUAUUUCAAAAUUCGGAUUGUAGCUGCGUUCUGUAGAUGGAAGUUACCAUCCGAAAUGUGUUUGGUCAUCAUGAAUCUGAACAGAAUAAUCGAUUUAGAGCUCAUUGUUGUCAGAAGAAUCGAUACAAAUUGAUUCUGUAGCUCUCCCUCGAUUGUAUUUAAAAUGGCUGCGUCCUGACAAUGUCUGCUUCGUCCAAAUGCGUUAAACUUGUCAGUAUUUUUCUAAAUUCCGAUUGUGGCUGCCAUCCGAAUUGUUUGGUCGGCUUGGAUCUGAACGGAAUGUUCGAUUUAGACCUCAUUGUUGCUAACAGAAUUGAUAUAAUCCAAUAGUGUUGCUCUCCCCGUCUGCUCCUUCUAAAAAGCGUCGCGUUUGUCAAUUAUUUCAAAAUUUCGGUUGUGGCUGGGUUCUAUACAUUAAAAUUGCCAUCCGAAAUGUUUUUGGUCAACUUGGAUCUGAACAGAAUGUUCGAUUUAGAGCUCGCUGUUGCCAAAAGGAUUGAUACAAAUUCAUUCUGUAGCUCUCCCUCAAUUGUAUAGAAAAUGGCUGCGUCCUGACAAUGUCUGCCCCUUCCAAAAGCGUCAAAUUAGUCAAUUAUUACAAUAUUCCGAUUGGGGCUGCAUCCUGUAGAUGAAAAUUACAAUCCCAAAUGUUUUUGGUCAUCAUGGAUCUAAACAGAAUAAUCGAUUCUCAAUGAGCAAACAAUGUGCUCUAAGCUCAUUGUUGCCAAUAGCAUUGAUACAAAUUGAUUCUGUAAAUCUCCCUCAAUUGUUUAGAAAAUGGCUGCGUCCUGACAAUGUCUGCUUCGUCCAAAAGCGUUAAAUUUGUCAGUAUUUUUCUGAAUUCCGAUUGUGGCUUCGUCCUGUAGAUGAAAAUUGCCUUCCAAAAUGUGUUUGGUCAUCAUGAAUCUGAACAGAAUAAUCGAUUUAGAGCUCAUUGUUGCCAGAAGAAUCGAUACAAAUUGAUUCUGUAGCUCUCCCUCGAUUGUAUUUAAAAUGGCUGCGUCCUGACAAUGUCUGCUUCGUCCAAAUGCGUUAAACUUGUCAGUAUUUUUCUAAAUUCCGAUUGUGGCUGCCAUCCGAAUUGUUUGGUCGGCUUGGAUCUGAACGGAAUGUUCGAUUUAGACCUCAUUGUUGCUAACAGAAUUGAUAUAAUCCAAUAGUGUUGCUCUCCCCGUCUGCUCCUUCUAAAAAGCGUCGCGUUUGUCAAUUAUUUCAAAAUUUCGGUUGUGGCUGGGUUCUAUACAUUAAAAUUGCCAUCCGAAAUGUUUUUGGUCAACUUGGAUCUGAACAGAAUAAUCGAUUUAGAGCUCAUUGUUGCCAAAAUAAUUUAUACAAAUUGUUGCUGUAGCCUUUCAUCAAUUGUAUAGAAAAUAGCUGCGUCCUUACAAUUUCUGCUUCGUCCAAAAGCGUUAAAUUUGUCAUUUUUUUUUCUUAAUUCCGAUUGUGGCUGGGUCCUGUAGAUGAAAAUUACCAUCCCACAUGUUUUUGGUCAACUUGGAUCUGAACGGAAUUUCGAUUUAGACUUUAGCAAAUUAAUUCUGUAGCUACCCUGUCAGGAAGGUUUGCUCAAUCGGGCCGAUUACAAAACAGAGAUGCCAGCACUCGAAUUCUAGCGGUUAGAAUUCGAUCUAUUAUCGGCUCGAUUUCCAUCCGCCUGCUCGAUUGCUCGAAAACCGACGAUAUUUUUUGCAGUGCUGCUAUGAACAAAACGAAACACGAGCAGUUUUCAAUUGCAGCAAUCUGGGCGCGUGUUUCGUUUUGGUGCGUGAUUGUUGUGUUGUGAAUGUUUCCGCUGUUUUUGUUCAGAAACAUUUUGAGCGCUGUAGUAAAAAAAACCAUUGUCCGGCGAUAAUUUAAUAAUAAGCAAGGUAUGUUAAGAUUGAUUGAAUUCUAAACAAUCAAGUUUUAUUUACAUAUAUAAUUUUCUAACCCAUUAUCGUCCCCACAGUAAACAUCGGCUCAUGCAAACAAAGCUUCCAAGGAAAUGUCCCGUGGGUAAAAGCUUUGGUGGAAUUUCAUCCGGACCCACUCAGAGGUGGUCGCUUCACUUGGAUGACUUUUAAUUAGUUUUUGGCGUGAUACUUAAAAGUGGAAAGCAAGGUAAGUACCGAUGUAAAAAAAAAUAUCUUUUUCAAGAUUAAAAUUUUAAUUCUUGUUGAUCCAAUCUAGAUUCGAAUUUUGAAAAUGUUUGAUUGAUUGCAUUUGAAUAUCCUCUGAACCGAUCAUUUUCAUCGGUUAAGGUCGCGGUACACCUCAGGUGAAAAUGAAAAAUCUUAUUUUGUCAAAAACUCAAAAAAGUGACACAUAUUGGCUUAGUAACAUGGUGGAAUCGUUGGGGAAUAGUUAAAAGCUGAAUUUCGAACCGGUCUCAGAGUUCCCCAGCAACACCCAGGCCAGCAUGCAAAAGUAAAAUUAUUUGAAUUUCUAUGUUCAGCGGUUUUUUUUUCAAAUAGAUCAAAUGAAGUUAUAUUUUCCGAUCGUAAAAUUUUACCAUAAAAAUAAUUAAUGAUUUUGCCUUCUCAGAUCUCUUGCGCUUGCAGUUCCAUGAUGUUAACGUAUGAAGUCGUAUGGGGUAUAUGGUCGACUUUGCCGGUCCAUCAUUUUAAUGCAAAAAAAAACGCGCACAACAGAAGAAGAGAAAAUCAAACAUAAAACUGGCCCCGUUUCCGUUUGUGAAGCUGUUUUCAUUAGUGGUUGCACUAAGCAAUAGCUAAUGCCUUCUUCAGCAGUCUCGCCAAACUGGAAAAGCGGUGAACUUGACGGUAAUCCCGGUGGAUUAGAACAAAGUCUUCGUGAAUCCUCCACUUCCAGCCGACAUAAUGGGAAGUUCAACACCGUCACUCAACUAUUAGCUUAAAAGCAGCAAAAACUGUUGGUGUCAGCAGCAACUGCAACAGCAGUAUCAGCAUCGGUUUUUCACCUGCUGCGUCGUCGAAACCUUCGGUGGCCGGAUCCAAUUUCGGGUCGACUAUGCGAGACCGCGCCCCCACAAUCUGCAACAAUAGGCUGUGCUAAAUCCUAAGUUCAGACAAUAGGUACAAACAGUCUUACUCCCGUUCGAUGUGAUCAUAGAAUGAAAGCUACAGAUUUAGAGGAAUACUAGAGCUGAGAACGAGUUGCUGCGUAUGAGGACGAUAACAGCUAUUUUUUUUAGUGAAGUGCAGCAGUUGUAAUUGGAUCCACUAGAUGCAACAUAAUAAAAGGGGCGCUAAGACGGACGAAUGCUGUGGUCCUGUGUGUAUUCAUUGUAUACCGUGGAUUCCUCGCAAUGCAUGUGAAGACGUUUUAGCCUCAGGAGAUUGCCAUCGAUGCCAGUAUCAAUCUGCAGGAUAAUUGCACAUAAAAAGAAUCGUCCGUUCAACAUGACUUUUUUUUAACUCAUCGCUUUUGGGAUUUCUACAAACAGCUAAAUCGGACGAUGUCGAUUCGAUGAUGGACGUAAAAGAGCGAAAGGUUACUUAUAAUGGUUUACCGAACUCUUUGACUCCGAAGUUUGUCCCAACCAAGCAGCUGUUGCUGAUGACUAUGAGUUCGAUUACGUAGCUUUGUAGAGAUUAGCUAAAGGAAUUCUAGUAAUUUGAUGACAGCUCCAGAUGAUGUUGAAGUAAAUAAAUAACGAUUUUCCACUUUCACUGACGAGUUGUUACCUUGUCGCGAUAGCGAUGCCACAGACACGGUCAGUGAAUGCAUUCGUCGAGAAAGUGGGUGAAACUAUAUUUGGGCCCAGUCAUAGCUUCCCUACCGAUCACCCACCGUACAAUUAAUAGCUCUGGUAUGGAUGUCCUUCACGUGCCUACAUCGUAGCCUCCACCGCUUGGUCGGUCCAGUGAAAAAGAUGCAUGCACUAUACUUUUGUCGGAAGAUGAAUCCCUCAAAAAGCGUUUUGGCAGAAAAAAACUAAACCCACAUUUCGAUUCGAUCACCCGGGAGUUUUUUUAGUUGCCAUAAGCAAUGAUACUAAUCUGCAGAAUGAUUCUGGUAGCCAUUUUUAUAGCCGUAACUUUUAACAUGCAACGUCAAAGAUGUAAAUGCGAGGAAAAUACAUUAAGAAAAAUUCAAUAAAAUAAAUUUGAAGAUGAUUUACCGUGAUUUACCAUCGAAAUAAACCUCCGGUGGUACAGAACAAGGUCAUCAACAAAAAAGCCCAGUAGCAACAGCAACAGAAGCAUCAAAGCUAGCCCAAAACUUUGAUUACGGAGGUGUUGAAAAACUAGUAUCUUGUCAACCAAUUUCGUAAAUUGAGUCUACCUUUUCGAAAAUUUCGGAGGGUACGAAACCGCAGCUAGACCAAGUAUAUCAACUACUUCAAUCAAUAUUCCUCCGUAUUUUCUCGGAUAAUGAUGAAGUUGUGAAAAAAUCGGGAUCUCAACCUACUAGGAAAACAAGUUCGACUGCUACCACUGCAUGUGCUAUAACAACAAUUGGUGCACCAACGUUCAGCUCCGGAACGAUGACUGGUAAUUUGAGUGAUUCUAUUUAAGAUCAGUAUUGGUCAGUGAGAUCAUCGAAAGGAAUUUUAUUGAACAAGUUUUUUUUAAUGUUAUUUUCAGUCAACAGAAAAAAAUUUUACGGGCAACGUUCGGCUGCAUCAAUUCGAUGGGUUCCAGAUUGAAAAGCGGGACAAGUAUUCACAUGAGAUGAAACUGCCAAUAUAAACGUACCAACCAAAUCAUUAAAAUCGUCGAGUGUUUCAACAGCAUCAGACAAACAGAUACCGCGGCCUGCCUAACCUACACUAUGAAGCACACAAGAAAAAAGUUCGACCUAAAUUCCUUGGCUGUGUACUCUGAAGGUAGUUAUGAUAAGUAAUGGAAGAGAAAGAGAAAUUGACGAACCAUCAGAUCUUACUAUUGCUAGAAUAGAAAUCAGGACAUUGAUGCCUGUCAAUAUUAAUAUUGUUCAAUAUUGACGCCAAUAAUGUGUUCUCACAAUUUGUCAUUAUAAUGUUUGUUAAUAUUUAAUAGACAUCUCAUACAAAAUAUGAAAAACAAAUAGAAAAAUCCAUUAAUUUGAGAAAAUUAGGUAAAGUCGGAGUGCUAUCGAUUUGGCCGACGAAGAAUCGAAUAAAGAGAAAUUCUGGUGCUCCUUUUUACGUGAAGACUUUUUUGAAACGUUUUUGUUAACAUUUUUAUCUUUAUUUUUAAUCUUUCAGAUUCUAUCGAAAUAUUCACAAACUGCUCUUCGAAGGCCCCAUUCUAAAAGAACUCUAGGUAGAUUGUAUGGAAUAUAUAUUUUUUACCACUCCCAACAAUGAAUAGAGCAAAUUAAUUUAAAAAAAAGGAAACCCAGUAGCGCCACGACCAAUGAAGAGCCGUCAUCUGGUGCUGGAAACGGUUCCGACGCAGUCAUUCCCUCAGUGGUUGCAUCAACAAUUUCCGUUCCGAAGGCCACCACCAUUCCUUCCAUCCCACCAGGAAUGUUCGCCCAACACAUCGUAUCAGCCGCUGCUUAUACCUCUUCUUGUGCCAUUACCGAUUAAGAAGCGGAAGAUGGUGACGACGAUUAUGCAUCGUUUCCAGCGAAUAUGAUCUUCGGUCAGUCAAAAUGGGCGAUGAAGAUUAGAAUCAGGUGUUCUGUGGCCGUUCAAAGUUGUUCAGGACGACAAACAGUUUAAGAGGCCUCGGCGAGUUGAAAUUUUGUGUAGCAAAACUGAUCCAAGCAAAUUUCGAAUUGUCAUGCGAGGCGAACAGAUGCACAAAAUUGCUGCCAACCAUUCGAUUGAAUAAGCUUGCGCCAAACAUCGCAAUGUUUUAUAGUCGAAGAGGCAGCAAACGAAUGUAUUAGAAGAACAAAAACUAAAAAAUAAACUAAUGAAAUAAAAAUCUAGCUUUUUGUAACAAAACCGAAAAACCUAAAUGAAUGGCAACAAUGCUAAUUGGCCCAGAAACGGUUCGAAAAACCGUUCUGUUUCGGUCCGAAAUCGGUCCUUUUUUACAGAUGGAUGCUAUGGCAAUCGGCCCAGAAUCGGUUCGAAAAAUCGUUCGGAUUCGGUCCGAAAUCGGUUCUUUUUUUCGGAUAGAGGCUAUGGCAAUCGACCCAGAAUCGGUUCGAAAAUUCGUUCGGUUUCGGUCCGAUAUCGGUCCUUUUUUCGGAUGGACGCUAUGGCAAUCGGCCCAGAAACGGUUCGAAAACCAUUAGGUUUCGGUCCGAAAACGGUUCGCUUGUUUUGACAUUUGAUCUGCUCGAACUGGUUGAAAAAACUUAUCGUCGUCCGAAAAAGUGUUUCAUUUUCGCACGAUUUUCUACUAAACUCGGCCCGAUUUCUUAUACGAUUUCGGACCGAUCGAGCAGAUGAA
Molecule: long non-coding RNA, 9947 nt
Organism: Uranotaenia lowii
Lineage: Eukaryota; Metazoa; Arthropoda; Insecta; Diptera; Culicidae
Exons: 8
Source: RefSeq, a predicted model, not a curated record